CAAUAGCGUAUAUUAAAGUUGUUGCAGUUAAAAAGCUCGUAGUUGGAUUUCUGGUCGGAAGCUCCUGUCCUCUGAUGAGCGUACAAGUGCGUCCUACCAUCCUUCUGUUAACCUUUAAGGCUUUCGCGGCUUUCUAGGGGCUCAGAUAUUUUACCUUGAGAAAAUUAGAGUGUUUCAGGCAGGCUAGCGCCGGAAUACAUUAGCAUGGAAUAAUGGAAUAGGACUUUUGCCUCUUCUGUUGGUCAUGAGGCUCGAGUAAUGAUUAAUAGGGAUAGUUGGGGGCAUUAGUACUUAACUGUCAGAGGUGAGAUUCUCGGAUUUGUUAAAGACUAACUUAUGCGAAAGCAUUUGCCAAGGAUGUUUUCAUUAA
This 370-nucleotide ribosomal RNA is filed under the name uncultured eukaryote. RNAcentral's name for it is "partial 18S ribosomal RNA". It matches the Rfam family "Eukaryotic small subunit ribosomal RNA", at positions 592 to 976 of the family's 1831-position model. The record is from RNAcentral.